ACGCUCGACACCUACGGGAGGUAGCAGUGGGGAAUAUUGCACAAUGGGGGAAACCCUGAUGCAGCAACGCCGCGUGAAGGAAGACGGUUUUCGGAUUGUAAACUUCUGUUCUUAGUGAAGAUAGUGACGGUAGCUAAGGAGCAAGCCACGGCUAACUACGUGCCAGUAGCCGCGGUAAUCUGAGCGGGCUGGCAAGGC
This 198-nucleotide ribosomal RNA is filed under the name uncultured bacterium. RNAcentral describes it as "partial 16S ribosomal RNA". It matches the Rfam family "Bacterial small subunit ribosomal RNA", at positions 328 to 539 of the family's 1533-position model. The record is from RNAcentral.